RNAcentral lists this ribosomal RNA (253 nucleotides) under uncultured microorganism. RNAcentral describes it as "partial 16S ribosomal RNA". It matches the Rfam family "Bacterial small subunit ribosomal RNA", at positions 524 to 776 of the family's 1533-position model. The record is from RNAcentral.
UACGAAGGGUGCAAGCGUUAAUCGGAAUUACUGGGCGUAAAGCGUGCGCAGGCGGUUUGUUAAGCGAGAUGUGAAAGCCCCGGGCUCAACCUGGGAACCGCAUUUCGAACUGGCAAACUAGAGUCUUGUAGAGGGGGGUAGAAUUCCAGGUGUAGCGGUGAAAUGCGUAGAGAUCUGGAGGAAUACCGGUGGCGAAGGCGGCCCCCUGGACAAAGACUGACGCUCAGGCACGAAAGCGUGGGGAGCAAACAGG